This 880-nucleotide unclassified non-coding RNA is filed under the name Hevea brasiliensis (rubber tree). Lineage: Eukaryota; Viridiplantae; Streptophyta; Magnoliopsida; Malpighiales; Euphorbiaceae. The record is from RNAcentral.
AUACAAUAUCACCCAAUUUGAAGUCCAGAGAUAGUGGUACUAGUGUAUUUAGUAGUUCUUGGUUAGGUAAAUGGAAUGAAACCCGUAAUGAUAUUAAGCUGAAAAAGGCCCAAAUUGUGUUGAAUUAUAGGAAUAGUAAUGGGGAUACAUCUGGUUCUGACUGUGAAGAAAGUAUUAGCGGUAGUACAAUGGAUAGAAUUGUUGAGAAAUUGAAGAAAUUUGGGUAUGCUGAUGAGGCUACAGAGAAGGAGAAGAGAGAAAAGAGAGUUGUUGAGAAAGGGUCUAUUGAGGAUAUUUUUUUUGUUGAAGAAGGAAUAUUGCCAAAUGUAAGAGGUGGGUUUUCUGAAGAAACUCCAUUUGGGGAUGAGAAUAUAAUUGCCAAAGAUGGUGUGGUUGGAUUUCCAUGGGAAAAGCCAUUGGUGAAGAAAGAGGAGAGUAAUUCAAUGGCUAGUAGGAGUAGGACUCAUUUGGCUGAGCUGACACUUCCUGCUUCUGAGCUUAGAAGGUUGACGAAUUUGGCUCUUAGGAUAAAGAACAAGUCGAGAAUUACCGGUGCUGGUGUUACACAACAAGUUGUAGAAACCAUUCACGAGAAGUGGAAAACAUCUGAGGUUGUCAGGUUGAAAGUUGAAGGUGCUCCUGCACUAAAUAUGAAGAGAAUGCAUGAGAUUCUAGAGAGGAAAACUGGUGGACUGGUGAUUUGGAGAUCUGGCACUUCUGUGGCUCUUUACAGAGGUGUCAGUUACGAGACUCCAUCUGAGCGAAUGAAGAAGAGGAUAAUGAGAAGAGAUGAGAUUCGUCAGAAGAACUCUCCAAUAGUUGAUGGCGAAAGUAAUCAGAAUUCUCGCAAUGAUGUGGAUUCCCUCCGAGAAGACUCUGU